This is a non-coding RNA of Pelobates cultripes (western spadefoot toad), 390 nucleotides long. The record is from the annotation of a GenBank genome assembly. NCBI's taxonomy places the organism in Eukaryota, Metazoa, Chordata, Amphibia, Anura, Pelobatidae.
GGCAUUCAUUUUGUAUUAUAUUGUGCUCAGUGGUGUAUUUUGACGGAACGCGGACACCCCCUAAUUUAAAUUUACCCACCCCUUCCUGUCACGGCUACACCUCUUCCUGUUAAAGACUAACACAUGCUUUGACUUGACAUACACACCCACUCACUGACCGGCACACACUCUCAGAUACACUGACGUACACUCACUGACAGACAAACAUACCCACACACUCACUGAUUUGACACAAUUUGACAGACACACACAAUCACUGAUUUGACACACACAAUCACUCAGACACGCACUGAAAUACACACGCAUUGAAAGAUACGCACACACUCACUGACAGACACACAUACGCUGACAAACACACAUUGACAGACAUACACACACUCACAGGCAUAC